This 424-nucleotide ribosomal RNA is filed under the name Fusobacteriota bacterium. RNAcentral's name for it is "Fusobacteria bacterium partial 16S ribosomal RNA". It matches the Rfam family "Bacterial small subunit ribosomal RNA", at positions 355 to 776 of the family's 1533-position model. Lineage: Bacteria; Fusobacteriati; Fusobacteriota. The record is from RNAcentral.
UGAGGAAUAUUGGUCAAUGGUCGAGAGACUGAACCAGCCAAGUCGCGUGAAGGAUGACUGCCCUAUGGGUUGUAAACUUCUUUUACAAGGGAAUAAAAUGAGAUACGUGUAUUUUAUUGCAUGUACCUUGUGAAUAAGCAUCGGCUAACUCCGUGCCAGCAGCCGCGGUAAUACGGAGGAUGCGAGCGUUAUCCGGAUUUAUUGGGUUUAAAGGGUGCGUAGGUGGGCUGUUAAGUCAGCGGUGAAAGUUUGUCGCUUAACGAUAAAAUUGCCGUUGAAACUGGUAGUCUUGAGUAUAGAUGAAGUAGGCGGAAUGCGUGGUGUAGCGGUGAAAUGCAUAGAGAUCACGCAGAACUCCUAUUGCGAAGGCAGCUUACUAAGGUAUAACUGACACUGAAGCACGAAAGCGUGGGUAUCAAACAGG